UGAGAAAAAUUGCCCGGAGGGAAUAACUGAAAUGUAUCAGUUUUCCUGCAGUGAUAACCAUAAUUUAAGAAGUAACAACUUAAUGCUGAGGUUGGCUAAACCAAAAACUAAUGCAAUGAAAAAGUCGUUCAGUUAUGCCGCCGCCAACAUCUGGAACUCACAGAGCAUUUCAGAAAGAAAGAAAUUAACUUGAUUCAAUGAUUUGAUAUAUAGUAGGUUAUGGCGUAUUAAAUGUAUUAGACGUGUAAUUAUGUAUAUUGUCCUGUAUUGUAUUGAUAUUCAAAAAUUGUAAUUUUAGCGUAAUCACACGGCCUUUUGAAAAGCAGCAUUUUAUCUAUUUAUUUUUUUUUUCUUCUUAAUUUAUUAUUGCAUGUUUACUUA
Molecule: non-coding RNA, 381 nt
Organism: Paramuricea clavata
Lineage: Eukaryota; Metazoa; Cnidaria; Anthozoa; Malacalcyonacea; Plexauridae
Source: the annotation of a GenBank genome assembly